AACACGAUUAAAACGGAGCAAAUAUAAGAAAGAGAGAAGAAAAACCGAAAAAGCGUUCCAUUUCAUCAAGCAAACCUCUUAUCAUCUUCGCUUCUGCAAAGUUCCAGUUACCGCCCCUCCAUUCGCCUAUCAAUUGUUGAGUGUGUGACAAAUAGAGAUCUAUUUUUCUGCUUCAUCUAGAGCUAGCAGAUCUUCAUUAUAUGGAUAAAAGGACACCCGAAAAUGAGGGAACCGAAGAAGUGACUCGGGAAUCACUCAUCGCAAUCUCUUACUCAUUACCUGAUAAGGUUGUUGCUUCCAAACUGUCAUCAGGUAAUUUGAAUGGUGAAAAACAGUUUGAAAGAACAGGUUCCAAUGGAGCCAAAAAAUACAGGUCUGAAUUGAUCUCGAUAUCCUAUUCCCAGUCACCUGACGAUAAGGGCUUACCAUCUCCAUUGAAGGGACUAGAGAAUUAGCAUUGCUGUCUCUUCCCCUCCGUUACGCGUCUCUCUAGGGUUCGGGGAAGGGCUUUUCUUGACCUUGGGAUUGGGUCUGGUAUGAGCUAGAACUGUUUCGUUGUCUAUGUUUGUUUUAUUGAUGGAACUGCCAGUUUCGCAGCUGAUCAUUUGCUAUAUAAAACCUUCCGUUACCUUUUCUGUCAAUGCAUGCUUUGCAAUUUCUUGUGCUCACUUUAUGUGAAAUAUGUCUUUGAUACAAGCUUCUUUGAUGCUCCACGAAUUCUGUGCGGUAUUGCUGAUAAAAUUUUGUGGUAGGGACACAGCUCAACAGUUGUGAAGAAAAUUUCUCUAUUU
Long non-coding RNA from Hibiscus syriacus, 791 nucleotides. RefSeq lists it as uncharacterized. The record is from RefSeq and is a predicted model, not a curated record. Lineage: Eukaryota; Viridiplantae; Streptophyta; Magnoliopsida; Malvales; Malvaceae. The transcript is spliced from 2 exons.